Non-coding RNA from Fomitopsis schrenkii, 96 nucleotides. Lineage: Eukaryota; Fungi; Basidiomycota; Agaricomycetes; Polyporales; Fomitopsidaceae. The record is from the annotation of a GenBank genome assembly.
UCUCUGUUAGUAUAUCGGUUAGUACACGCGCCUGUCACUGACUGCGUACGUCCAGAAGGUGCGCGCGAAAGCGGGGUUCGACUCCCCGACAGAGAG